RNAcentral lists this ribosomal RNA (503 nucleotides) under uncultured bacterium. RNAcentral describes it as "bacterial SSU rRNA". It matches the Rfam family "Bacterial small subunit ribosomal RNA", at positions 24 to 518 of the family's 1533-position model. The record is from RNAcentral.
UCAGGAUGAACGCUAGCUACAGGCUUAACACAUGCAAGUCGAGGGGCAGCAUUGGAGUAGCAAUACUCAGAUGGCGACCGGCGCACGGGUGAGUAACACGUAUCCAACCUGCCGCUUACUCGGGGAUAGCCUUUCGAAAGAAAGAUUAAUACCCGAUGGUAUAAAGAGUUCGCAUGUUCUCUUUAUUAAAGAAUUUCGGUAAGCGAUGGGGAUGCGUUCCAUUAGAUAGUUGGCGGGGUAACGGCCCACCAAGUCUACGAUGGAUAGGGGUUCGUGAGAGGAAGGUCCCCCACCAUUGGAACUGAGACACGGUCCAAACUCCUACGGGAGGCAGCAGUGAGGAAUAUUGGUCAAUGGACGAGAGUCUGAACCAGCCAAGUAGCGUGAAGGAUGACUGCCCUAUGGGUUGUAAACUUCUUUUAUAAGGGAAUAAAGUGAGGGACGUGUCCCUUUUUGUAUGUACCUUAUGAAUAAGGAUCGGCUAACUCCGUGCCAGCAGCAGC